Molecule: long non-coding RNA, 1590 nt
Organism: Chelonia mydas (Green sea turtle)
Lineage: Eukaryota; Metazoa; Chordata; Testudines; Cheloniidae
Exons: 2
Source: RefSeq, a predicted model, not a curated record
GGGCCCUCCCGUUGAACACGCGCCUCCAGGGCAGGAGCGGGCUCCCCACCAAGGGGGCAGCAGCUGCGCUCGCACGCUUCGCAGGUGCCUGUUCCGAGCCCUGUGGAACACGUGGCCUCUUCGUGAAUUAGAUGGGUCUGAGAGACACAGACAAGGUUUUCAUCUCAAGGCCAAAAGACAUCUGUGUCAUGUCUUCAUUGGAAGGGACUUACAUUACCCAUUGACAAUUUUUUCACGAUCUUCAACUUCUCUUUCCUUAUACAGGCCCAUGUCCUUCUAAGGAAACUGGCUGUUUCUAUUGUCCAGGUUUGUUCUCCUGUGAAACAGGCACCUAAAAUAGUAAAAGGUUUAGAAGUGUAGUUUAAGAUUUUCGGAUGAGAACAGUAGCAUUGGGUAGUUUCCUGUAUUUUGUGGAAUGCCAAGCAGGCUGGUGGGAAUGUGUGUGUCCAGGGGCAACUGAAGUCCAAAUUCUGUCUCUUGACACUUCACAGAUACCAUUUCUGAAAAAGUAUCCCACACUGAUACCACAUCAAUACUAAAAAGAAAAGGAGUACUUGUGGCACCUUAGAGACUAACAAAUUUAUUAGUCUAUGAAAGGGCAAGAAGUAUUGUCAUUUGAGUUUCACACUAUACAUCAGUUUGAUGCCAUACCCAUUAAGUAUGUGGAUGUACCAGAAAUAGCUUUUAAAUUUGCAGAUUUGUUACUGAAGAAAUCCAUAAUUUGUACUUCAUCUCAGUAAAUUGUCAUAGGUCAAAUCUGUUUUAAAACAGACAUCUACAGUCCUGAUUAGGAAUAAGAUAAAGUACCUGUAGGUUGAUACUUUUUAAUUAAAAAUACAUGUUAUCCUAACUCCCUAACAGUAUAAUUACCAUCUCUAUUUAAAUCCUUGUGCUUUUUUACUUUUGUUUCUAAAGCUGGGUUGGCAGUGGGGGAAUUUUUUAGUGAUGAUGAAAAAUUCUAUAUUGAUAGGCCUAGAAACUGAAAUCCUACAUGAAUGGAACAUCUACACUCUAGACAAUUACAGAACAAGUUUCUCUACCCCACCCCAAUCCACCAAUGUUUCUCACUCCUGAUCUAGAGGGUAAAGGUAAUUCUGACUCCAUGCCCUUUCAUUUCCUAUCCUCUGCUCAGAGUCCCAACAGGGUGUCAGUCGUGAUAGAUGAUGGUUUUGUGACAUGAACACCUGUCUGUUGGGAGCUGUACAGGGACCAACUCAUUUCACGGAAGCCACUGAAGAGCCAUCAGAUGGUAAUGACUUUCAGUCCCUGUUGACCUGGGCCAAUUUGAAUCAGUGAUCUAGGGGUGAAAGGCUCCAUAUUCCAUUACCAGUUUUCUGAGCCAUCAAGUCUACUCCAUUCUGCCCCUACUAGUUCUGUACAGAUAUAUUUGAUAGCAUUUUUCUAAAUGCUAUCAUCCAUACAGACACCUGCCAUCAUUUGUUGAUACAGUCAAUCAAUACUACAUUAAAUGUUACUUUUCAGUUUACCCUUAAUUGUCUAAAGUAUGUGUGGAAUUUCAUUAUUUAUAUUACUCUGCCAUUAAAUUAUGCAUUCCAGAUUAAAAGAAUAAAAGGCUUGUUUACAUUAUUA